Molecule: transfer RNA, 71 nt
Filed under: Candidatus Peribacteria bacterium RIFCSPLOWO2_12_FULL_53_10
Lineage: Bacteria; Candidatus Peregrinibacteriota; Candidatus Peribacteria
Description: tRNA-Cys
Rfam family: tRNA
About the family: Transfer RNA (tRNA) molecules are approximately 80 nucleotides in length. Their secondary structure includes four short double-helical elements and three loops (D, anti-codon, and T loops).
Source: RNAcentral
GGUGCAGUAGCCAAGUAGUAAGGCAGGGGUCUGCAAAACCCCCAUGCGUGGGUGCGAUUCCCACCGGCACC